Cinclus cinclus is the source of this 3458-nucleotide long non-coding RNA. RefSeq lists it as uncharacterized. The record is from RefSeq and is a predicted model, not a curated record. The transcript has 3 exons. Lineage: Eukaryota; Metazoa; Chordata; Aves; Passeriformes; Cinclidae.
CACUCGGCUCCCCUGCCCGCCCGCUCAGGCUGCAGUUCCCCCAACUCUGGCAGCAUCGCCCUGCCCCCCCGGAACCCACAGGAUUUCCCAUUCCCAAAUCAUGGUCAGAUGGAGGAGGAGGCCGUGAGGAAGAUGGCCCAGAAGCCCUAUGCAGACAAGGAGCUGAGGAUGGAGACCAGGGAGGACAAAUCCCCACAGCUGAACCUUAUGGAAAAGGCAUUUUAAACCAGCUCCAUGGUGCAGGAAUCCAAGGAGGAGGAAAAGCCCCAGAGAUCCCUCAUGAGGGGUUACAAAUGCAGAUCACGGUGAUCCAAAGCAGAAAGACCCACUCCGGGCCAGGGAGGUGGCCAGAGAUGCUGCUGGAGCUUAGAGCUGAGAGUCCAUGAGCAGCUUCAUGAUGGGGAGAAGCCCCACAAGUGCUCAGAAUGUGGGAAGAGCUUCAGCAAGUGAUCCUACCUGAUCCAACACUGGAGAAUCCACAUGAGGGAACAGCCCUAUGAGUGUGGGGAGUGUGGGAAGGGCUUCAAGACAAGCUCUGACCUGACUGCCCACCAGAUGAGCCACACAAAGCAGAGGCGUGCCGAUUGUGAGGAAUGCAGGAAGACAUUUAAGACUAGCUCCAGUCUCCUCAGGCAUCAGCAGAUUCAGAGGAGAGGCCCUUCCACUGACCCAACAAUGGGAAUGGCUUCAACCAAAACUCCACUGUCGUCACCCACCAGCGCAUAUAUACUAGGACGAGGCCCUACGAGUGUCCCAAAUGUGUGAAGUCCUGUUCCAGAAGCUCUCACUUUACCCUACACCAAUGAAGGCACCACUAAGGGAAGCCCUGCAAAUCAAGUGCAGGAAGAGCUUCAUGUGCUGCUCCAGCUCCAUCCCCCGUGGCAGGAUCUGUGCUGGAUGUUCCUGUGGCCCCCAGUGGGCAGAGCAUUGCUGGUCCAUGGUGCCCAUGAUCUAUGUUAGAAAUACACCUGGCUGGGUGGCUCCACAUCCUCCUGGCUCCCCAUGGGCACCUGGACAUAUCCACAGAUCAACAUCAGAAAUCCAUUGUGAAGAGCACGUUUGUCGACUUCUGACCCGAGAAAAAUCUCACUCUUUGCAUCUUCUGGUGGUAUCAAGCAACACUGAAUGGCCUUGGAGGUCUUCUCCAAUAGAAAUCCAUCAUUUUAAUCCUUUCUGGCUCAUGGGCAUCUUCCACAGCCAAAUGGGAACAUACUGGGGCAAACCCCACAAUUUUGGAGAUGGUGGGGUGGAAACCCCUUCAAAAAGGGUUCUUCCCACCCAGCCAAGCAUGUGGAUGCUUUGCCAGCAGGGACACAUAAAUUCUUUUGUUUUGGCCUUGAAACAAAAAGGUUUCUGUUCAUUCCUUUGAAAGCCCUGUAACUGGGGUUAAAAAUAACGACAAGGAACUAAGACAUGGGUGGGGCCAUGGGGGGAGAUGGAUGAGGAUGUGAGGAACAUGGAUGGGGACAUUGCGAAGUGCUGUCCAAUGCAGGUACUGCCACCACAUCCCCACUAUCACCACCACAGUGCACCAGCCAGAUGUCAUCACCCAGCAGGGCAGGAGGUGGAACUUGUUCGGCUGUUGACAAGUGGCCCGGAGGUGAGUGACAGUCACCAGGGCGUCCUAGGGACUCCACGCUCAGAGGACCCCAAUGGCCCAAGGUACAGCACAAGGGUCAGUGCCACCCACAGUGUCAUGUGGCCCCAUGCUACAUGUCACCAGGGGUGUCCUGGUGACAUUGUCCCCCUGCUAUCUGUCCUGGUGGCAUCAUGUCCUUUCCCCUCUGUAUGUCCAAAUUCCCUACCAUAUCUUCCUCUCGCCUUCCAUGUGUCCCCUGCCCCCAGUGGGGCCAAAAACCAUGAGGUCCUGGGCUGUCUGAGGGGACCCAUCCUGUAGUGUCCCUGUGUCCCUCAAUGUGUGCCCAUGUCCCUCAGGAUGUCCCCAUGGCUGCUUCUGGCACGGAGCAUCUGCACUCACCCUGGCACAGGUAGGAAAACACUGUAACACCCCAUGACAUCCUUGUCCUCUGAUUUUAGGUCCUUCUCCCCUCCAUUUUCAGUCCUUUUCCCCUUUUUUGGGUUCAGUGCCCCCUAUUUUGAGUCUUUUCUGUGCUUGUUUGGAUUCUUUCCAUCCUUUACCCCAAUUUUAUGCACCCUCGCCUUCACUUUGGCACAUUUUUGGGUGCAUCCCUCCCUUCCAACCCCCUCCGCACCUUUUAGGCGCCCCUCACUCCCCUACACCCCAACUCCCUUCCCCACAGACAUCUCCCCAGCUGUGUCCCCAACUGUCCCCCUAUGCCACAUGGACUCAGUGCUCACCAUCCUGGAUACCCUUGAGUCCCCGGCCUGGGACUGUGGAUUUCCUCUUCCAAGAGAUUCAGAGCUGGACCGGCUGCCAGGGGAUGCCGAUGGCACCAGAGCUCAGGGUGGGUGGCCUGGUGAGGUUGGUGGGAGGGGGUUUGGGGUCAUCUUGGGACUGACCAGGGGCUUGUCCACUCUGCAGUGAGAAGCAGCCCUGGCCAGGGAGUCUGGGAUGGAUGGGGGCAGGAGAGAUUGGACACUGGUGGACACUUGAUGGACACCUGAGUCAUGGAUCCCAGCUUGACACUUGUCUGGAUAGCUCUUGGCCCUGCAGCCCCCCAGCCUAGGCAGCUCCGAGCCCAGAUAACCACCAGCCUUGAUACACACCUUGGGUGUGUAUCACCUAACUGGCCCACCAGCCCAUCCCAGUAGCCCCAACCCCAAAACCCCCCAAAACAAACCCAAUUCCAGAACAUCAAUUCUGGAUGCUCCCUGCAGAGUGAGGGGGAAACUGAGGCACGGGAUGAGGUGAUGGGAGGAGACUUUGAGACUCACCCUGGAGACCCCAAAACGAGCACCCACCCCCCAAAUUGUCACUGCAGCAUCUCAGGCCCCCCAGCUGUCACACUGGGGCGACUCCAGGAGCCACUGCAACCCCAGGCCCCUCGAGGGGUGACCUGUGGUGUCCCUCUGGUGUCACUGGCGAGUCCCCAGCAGAAGCAACAUCACCUCCUCAGCAGGAGGAAGACGAGAAGGAGGUGAGGAUGUGACUGAAACUCCUGCCCGUUCACAUGGGGAGGUCGCCACACGAACGGGGGCCAAGCACAGGUGGAGCAGCGGAGGUACCAUGGGGACUGGGGGGGGACAUGGGGACAGUCCCCAAGGUCCCCUCAGGGGAUGCUGUGGUGGGGGCGGGGGGGAGGGGGUGCAGGGUGGAGCAGCAUCUUCAGGGGGAUGUGGGGAGAUGGAAAUGGCUGGGAGUGACCCCAGAAAUGUUUUCACCACCUCCUCCUGUAACAUGUGGGCCGCCCCCUUCUUUGGGGUGCUGGUAACAAAUUGGCAGAUGGCGGUGACAAAAAGCGCAGGUGCCACCUCGGGGAUUGCACAGAGAGAGGGUCCUGCAGCAUGACCAAGACCCCCCUGACUGAGGGGCACCC